CCCCCUUUAAAAGCACUCACUGGGCCUCUCGCUAGUGACCCACUGAGCCGUCGACAAAGGGCAGAGUAAAGGCAUCGUCUUUGGGUGAAGCGGCAGCGUGUCGUGUUGCUCAGCUUCAGUCGGCGAUGUUACAAGG
Sorex araneus (European shrew) is the source of this 136-nucleotide small nucleolar RNA. Lineage: Eukaryota; Metazoa; Chordata; Mammalia; Eulipotyphla; Soricidae. The record is from RefSeq and is a predicted model, not a curated record.